GUAGAAGGCAGCGAUUGUUUAUGAGCAGCUUGACAAAUCACUCAGAGGGGGGCAAGUUAGCUUCAAAUGGUUUGUUUGUAUAGACUUGGCUUUGCAUCUUCAUGGAUGAUUAUUCUCCUUCCAGACAAUCAUGUGUGUUAAGAAGAUGCUUGAAUUUUUUAUUUGUGUUUGCUUGUAUACAUUCGCACAUUCCGCUCCAAAGCAUGCACCUGGUACAGUGUACAUUAACCAUUUGGACAUAUCAAGGCACAUUAGUUAGUGUUUGUGUAUGAGAUAGACUCUGUGGCUGUGUGUGUGUGUGUGUGUGUGUGUGUGUGUGUGUGUGUGUGUGUGUGUGUGUGUUGUGUGAGACAAACUCUGGCUGUGUGUGUCUGUAUGAGCCAGACUGGCUGUGUGUGUGUGUGUGAGAGAGAGAGAGAGAGAGACAGACAGACUCUGGCUGUGUGUGUGUGUGUGUAAAACUUUUUUACUUUGCUUCCUGUUGCAUUUUCCUCUCACGGUCCUGUGGGUAACAAUCUGUUCUCACCACUGUGGUGCAUUAACAAAUGAGCCAUGGCCUUCAUCCAUCUGAGGUGGCUAGAACUCUGAUACUGAUGAUACUGAUCAGGACUGUCUCCUGGGCUAAAGCUGAUGAGGAACUUCAGAAGGUGGUGAGUUCAUUGCACAGCUGAAGCCUGAGAGGUCCAAUCUCUGGAGACUCUGCAAGACAUGGUGCAUGACAUGGGGAACCAGCUCUAUGAGACCGACAGGACGUGUGUGAUAAGCUAAAAAAAACCAAACAAACCUGUAAGCGAGAAAAAAUUUACAUUAAGCAGCUCCUUUAGGAAUAUCUGAGGAAAUAAUUUUAAGAAUUUUCAUGUUUAUGUGUUUUGUAAAAUUGUUUUGCUAAUACAUGUCUGUUGUAGUAAACUGUCUGUUAUGGGCCAGAACAGUAAAUCACAUACCUCUGGGACUUGCAAACUGCAAAAAUAUGGAUAUUUAUCACAACAAGAUUCUGAUGUUUGAUUUCAUUUUUAUUUUUGACACCAUUGUUGCAUGCUUACAUGGAAAACUGAAAAGGAAAUGGCAUUAUUUUAUUUAAUUUUCUUUUUGCCACCUUCUUUGCACCCACAUAUGGGAAAAAAUAACACUGAAACACAUUUUGCAUUUAAAUUUAAAAUUUUAAUUUUUGGAUUUUAAUUUAACUUUUGGCACAAAAUAUCUCCUAUGACUAAAAUACUGGCAAAUGAAGAAUUUUACAGUAAUAAACAUUGGGUCUGCAAAGUG
Tachysurus fulvidraco (yellow catfish) is the source of this 1266-nucleotide long non-coding RNA. RefSeq lists it as uncharacterized. NCBI's taxonomy places the organism in Eukaryota, Metazoa, Chordata, Actinopteri, Siluriformes, Bagridae. The transcript has 2 exons. The record is from RefSeq and is a predicted model, not a curated record.